RNAcentral lists this long non-coding RNA (226 nucleotides) under Trifolium pratense (red clover). RNAcentral's name for it is "long non-coding RNA (TPRA_LNC006486)". Lineage: Eukaryota; Viridiplantae; Streptophyta; Magnoliopsida; Fabales; Fabaceae. The record is from RNAcentral.
GACAACCCUGCUAAUACCAUUCCCAACAUCUCACCUUCAUCCUCUGAUCCUUUAGGUAACCUUUCCAAUCAGCUGUAUGAUGAUCUACUUAGGUUAUCCCAUAUUCAGGACAAGUUUCUGGUGUGUCCCUCUGAUGUGGAUUUGGAGGUGUCACUAAUCAAGGCUAGGAUCUGCAAAGCUUUGGAUGCAAUGGGUGAUGAGAUAAAGACUGUGAUUGGUCAACGGG